This 2169-nucleotide ribosomal RNA is filed under the name Triticum aestivum (bread wheat). RNAcentral's name for it is "partial small subunit ribosomal RNA". Lineage: Eukaryota; Viridiplantae; Streptophyta; Magnoliopsida; Poales; Poaceae. The record is from RNAcentral.
AUGUUCGAGUAUGUAAAUGUUGCCAGCAAGAUGUUUGAUAGUGAGGCUGAAGGCUAUGAAUUCUACAACAAAUAUGCUCUUGAAAAAGGUUUUAGUGUGAGGAAAAGCUACGUUGAGUGGGAUGGAUCCAACAAAUACAUAAUUUUAAGGAAAAUUGUGUGUAGUCAUCAAGGGUUUCGCGAAGAUAAGCACAUGAAAAGAAAGAUGGAAGAUAGAAAGAGGAGGCCACGAAGUUUAACUCGUGUUUGUAAUGCUAAAUUGGUCAUUACGAGACAGGAGGAAACCGGUCGGUGGUUUGUCAAGGAUUCCAUCGAUGAGCACAGCCAUCCUCUAGCCGCACGGGAUCUUUCUUGUCUGCUGCGUUCGCACAGACGAAUUAGCGAUGAGCAGAAAGCGGACAUUGCGGACAUGGAAAAAUGUGGGAUCCGUGAAUACCGUAUUAUGGAUAUUUUGUGCUUUCAAUACGGUGGAUUUGAUAAGGUUGGAUGCAUAAAGAGGGACGUUUACAAUUUCUGCCAUGCUAAUAAGCAGGAGACAAUCAGUGCCGGUGAUGCUAAAAUGGUGAUCAUGCACAUGAUGGCGAGGCGAGAGCGAGAUGUGGAUUUUUUCUUCAAGUACUUGGUAGACGAGCAUGGCCAUCUGAAGGGACUGUUCUGGGCUGAUAGUCAAUCGCGACUUGAUUACGAGGCUUUCGGAGACGUCAUUGUUUUUGAUAGCACAUAAAGAACCAACAAAUACAAUCUGCCAUUCGUGCCUUUUGUCGGGUUGAAUCACCAACGCAGCACUGUUAUAUUUGGCUGUGGUAUAAUUUCUCUUGAAACAAGCCAGGCAUAUGAGUGGAUGUUGCGGACCUUUUCUGAUUGCAUGGCACAGAAGCAUCCGGUAUAUGUGAUCACAGACGGGGACCUUGCAAUGCAGAGAGCAAUAAGGGUGGUCUGGCCAGACUCAAACCAUAGACUAUGUAUAUGGCACAUUCAGCAGAACAUUGUACGCCAUCUGCAUGAUGACGACGUAAAGGAGGAAUUCAGAUCGUUCAUUUAUGAUACUUCUUCCAUUGAAGAGCAUGAGAUAAAAUGGAUACAUUUCUUACAACGGAAUAAAGUAACCAGUGAGGAGUCUUGGCUGCAUCAGAUGUAUCAGAUGAGAAAGUUGUGGUGUGCACCAUAUCUUGAGGGGCGUUGUUUCCUAGGAUUGAGCAGUAAUCAAAGGAGUGAGAGCUUGAACUCUGUGCUACAUACGCAUCUUGAGGGUAAGAUGUCGUUGUUUGAAAUGCUAGAGCACUAUGAGCGUUGCCUUGCGUCGCGACGGAUUAACGAAGCUCUCCAUGACGUCGAAGCCUUGCAGUACGUUCCAUUUACAGAGGAAAAUGCUUCGCCGCUUGAGAAACACGCCGCAACAGUUUUCACACCUAGGGUCUUUAAGAUGGUCUUAUGGAGCAUAGAUGCUGUCAGCAAAUGUCAGAUUAGAGUGAUACUAGAUGGAUCAGAAGAUUCCACUUAUGUUGUGUCCAAGCAGGAAAGAAUGGAUAAAAAGUUUGGAGUGCGCAUUGAAGAGCAAGGAGGUCUUUUGCACAGGGUGAGUUGUUCUUGCCGUAAGCUGGAAUGCGCAGGCACACCAUGUUCCCACAUUUUUUACAUAUUGGGGAUUUUAAAACAAACAAUUCUGCCCGGUUGUUGCGUUCCCACUAGGUGGGCUAUGAAUGCAAAAUGUGCAUACGCACCUACCAGAAAAACCCAGAUGUAUGACUAUUCGCUAAGCCUGCAGAGGUACCGCGAGUUGCGGAAUUGUAGUCACGCCGCAAGUUUCCAGGCAUGCCACUCUGAUGAGGACUAUCACCGUCUAAAGAUGCUUUUGCAAGCACAACAUCAUGGCAAGCAAUCAAGUUUUGAACUAGCUGACAGCAAGGAGUCAACUAAUGCUCAGCAUAACAGCAUUAGGUUUGGCCCGUUUAUGCCGCACUCGCAGAAAGUUGAUAAGGUUCUGGAUCCCGUGCAUGUGCCAGGACGAGGUGCACCGAAGAAAAGGCUGCAGGCAAAGACAAAGAAGUCAAGAUCACAGAAUAUCUGUGGCUAUUACAAGAAACCAGGUCACAAUCGACGUAAAUGCGCUAAAUUUCUAGAGGUACGAAAUAUGUUCAUAUUUUUUUGCAUGUGUUUUACUCAUAAUUGA